Molecule: long non-coding RNA, 608 nt
Filed under: Mus caroli (Ryukyu mouse)
Lineage: Eukaryota; Metazoa; Chordata; Mammalia; Rodentia; Muridae
Description: lncRNA (MGP_CAROLIEiJ_G0003886.1)
Source: RNAcentral
GGCUGGCUCGAGCGAUCUGCAGGAAGCCGUACCAGUCUGCAGCUGCCCAGCCAGGGACCAGAGAAAUGCAGCAGGAACCCAUGCUCGUCUGGAAUAAUUCACAGGACCCCGUUCGAGCUCCCUGGUUGAGAUAAAUACAUCGACCCACGCAGGUAGAAUUUUCUUAUCAAGAGUCUCUUUCUCCUCCUGACAUCGGGGGCCAUGGGAGAAGUUUCCCACUUCCAGCUCUGGGGAAAGAGCGGAAACCGAGGUGGCAGGGAGCAGUGUAAAGCCGAGGUGGCUUGGGAGAGGCCUGGGCUGUGGAGUCCCCGGGCGGCUCCCGCGACUUCUCUGGAAUGCUUCCGCGCUGCAGGCCCUGGAUGCUGGCGUGGACGUGCAGGGUGUAGAGCGGCAGGCCCGGAUGGAUGGGCUGGUGCGGGGCUCGGGUCCGAGUGGAGCGGGCAUUCUCGCUUCGCGGCUUGCAACCGGCCUUCACAGUUCAGGCUGCAGCAACAGAAAUAAUGGGACUGACGGCAAGAAAGUAUCCCAACGCUUUCCCGCUCUUCUGGAGCUGCCUCCACCCCCAUCCCCGCCGCCGCAUCCUUCUUUUUGAAUAAACUUACCGAGAA